Molecule: ribosomal RNA, 301 nt
Filed under: uncultured bacterium
Lineage: Bacteria
Description: partial 16S ribosomal RNA
Rfam family: Bacterial small subunit ribosomal RNA
Source: RNAcentral
CAGCCGCCGCGGUAAUACAUAGGUGGCAAGCGUUGUCCGGAAUUAUUGGGCGUAAAGGGCUCGCAGGCGGUUUCUUAAGUCUGAUGUGAAAGCCCCCGGCUCAACCGGGGAGGGUCAUUGGAAACUGGGAAACUUGAGUGCAGAAGAGGAGAGUGGAAUUCCACGUGUAGCGGUGAAAUGCGUAGAGAUGUGGAGGAACACCAGUGGCGAAGGCGACUCUCUGGUCUGUAACUGACGCUGAGGAGCGAAAGCGUGGGGAGCGAACAGGAUUAGAUACCCCAGUAGUCCCUGUCUCUUAUAC